Molecule: small nuclear RNA, 18 nt
Filed under: Arabidopsis thaliana (thale cress)
Lineage: Eukaryota; Viridiplantae; Streptophyta; Magnoliopsida; Brassicales; Brassicaceae
Description: snRNA_18222
Source: RNAcentral
UCUCUUAAGGUAGCCAAA